RNAcentral lists this ribosomal RNA (253 nucleotides) under uncultured bacterium. RNAcentral's name for it is "partial 16S ribosomal RNA". It matches the Rfam family "Bacterial small subunit ribosomal RNA", at positions 524 to 776 of the family's 1533-position model. The record is from RNAcentral.
UACGGAGGAUGCAAGCGUUAUCCGGAAUGAUUGGGCGUAAAGCGUCCGUAGGUGGUUUUGUAAGUCUGUGGUUAAAGCGUGGGGCUCAACCCCAUAACGGCCAUGGAAACUACAAGACUUGAGUGAAGUAGGGGUAGAGGGAAUUCCCAGUGUAGCGGUGAAAUGCGUAGAGAUUGGGAAGAACACCGGUGGCGAAAGCGCUCUACUGGACUUAUACUGACACUGAGGGACGAAAGCUAGGGGAGCGAAAGGG